This 2736-nucleotide long non-coding RNA is filed under the name Marmota monax (woodchuck). Lineage: Eukaryota; Metazoa; Chordata; Mammalia; Rodentia; Sciuridae. The record is from RNAcentral.
UAUAUUUUUAAUUAGUCUUAUAAUUUUCAUUCAUGGUCCAAAAAUUGUGAAGGAAAGAUGUGACAUAAAUUAUAUUAAAUAAUUUAUUACAUGUACUAUUAAAUAAUACAUGUAUUCUAAUUCUUUUCAGUCAAAAAAAUACUUGGAGCAUCCAUUUUAUGCUUAAUAAUAGAUGGUUUAUUCUCAUGAAAUUUCUGAUGUUUCUGGAAGUAACAUGAGGAAUAAUAAAUACUCUGUUUUUAGAACUUUUAAACAUUGGUAAAAUUAAUAUUUUCAACAAAUAUCUAUGUUUAGUCAAAGUAGGUGUAAGAAAAACUAUUUGAUUCUCAUCCUUUGAUUUUAUUAUCAGUAGCUGAUUACCUAAUAACAGGGAGGUAGUCGGUGUCUUCUCUGUGUUCUCACACAAUCUCUCCGUGCAUACAUACCCCUGCUGUCUCUUUUAUAAGGACACCAGUCAUACUGGAUUAUGGCCCCAUGCUAGCAAUGUCAUUUUAACUUAAUCACUUUCUUUAGGAGCCUUCUUUCUAAAUAUAAUUACAUUCUGAGAUACUAGGGGUUGGAAUUUUAGCACAUGAAUUGGGGGUCUGGGAGCACAGUUCAGCUCAUGAUACUUGACAGAAAUGAAAACAUGCAUCCACAUAAGAACUUGUACAUAAAUAUUUAUAGUAGCAAUGUUAAUAAUAUGUAAGUGAAAAACAACCAACUGUUCAUCAAGUGGUAUACAACUGACACAUAAAAAUAGUAUAUAUUUAUUUAAAUGUGAUAUAUAUUUCUAAUGAAAUUUAUUUGAACAUGAAAUGAAGUACUGAUACAUGUUACCACCAGAUGAACCUUGAAAGCAUGCUAGCUAAAAACACCAGCCACAAAAUACGUUUAUGUUUCCAUUUAUAUGAAAAGACUAGGAUAAUAAAAUCUUUAGCAAUAGAAAGUAUGUUAGAGGAGCUGUGAUGACUACUAAUGGAUAUGGGGCUUCUUAUGGGGUAAUGAAAAUUUUCCAACCUUAAAUUGUAAUGAUAGUUACGCAACUUUGAGUAUACUAAAAAUCAUUGACAUGCGCACUUUAAAUGGCUUCAUUUUAUGGUGUGUAUAUUAUAUCUCAAUAUAGGUAUUCCUCAAAUGUUUUUUAAUAUAAGAGCUUUUACUUAAAAAGUCUUGAAGCAUGCAAAUUCUUUGGCAGAGCCUCUUAGACAAAUAUGAAACAGAUGGUCUUCGAAAUAUGAGGCACAUAUUGUAGACAAUAUUGUACUCAGGGUCUGUGAAUCUUAUUAAUUUCUGGCAACGAGGUUAAAAUGUAGCAUCUGGACUUGGUAGCAGUAAUUGACAUGCAACUGAAGAGUUUGCAGUAGAACUGAAAUGACCAGUGCAUAGAUGAAGUUCUUAAACAUGAAACGAAGCUGUUAGGUUUUAACUCUCUCAUUAACCCUCUCUAUUCUUAGGCAAAGCCUUCAUCUGACACACUUGCCAGUUUCUAGUAAUGGCUGACUAUAAAACAUGUAACCUCAAGUAGGAUAUUCUCCCCAUCCCAGAAAUAUAACUCUAUAGUGCCAGUCUUUCUUAUUAAAUUAAAUAGUUGUGCUUAAAAUUUCCAUUAAAAAAAUACAGUUGUGGCUUGAGCUGUGGAAUGAACUAUAGGCUCUGACAUAGUCGAGAAUUCUCAACCACAGCAUGUUGACAUUUUGGACCAGAUAUUUUUUUCUUGUGGAGACUGUCCUAUGUAUUGUGAAAUGCUGAGCAAUAUCCAUGGCCUGUUCCCACUAGAUCACAGUAUAUCCCACCCCAAGUUGUGACAAAUAAAAACAUUCCCAAAUUUUCUCUGUGGGGACAAGAUGGAGAACCAUCAACUUAAGGAAAAUUAAUAGUUUUUUCAUGGUAAUAGCAGACCGUAUACAAUAAGGAAAAAUCCAUGUUUAAUUUCUCCUUCACUUAUACAAAUUCUGUUCACUUGAAGUAUUCAGAAUGUCAUCUGAAAAACGAUUUAUCAUGUAAUAACUUUAGAUGACAAUAUUCCUUGAUGAGUUUAUUUGGAAGAUUCUCAUUUUUUGCUCUAAAUUUUUAACAUAAUGCUGAAAUUCCAUCUUGGAGCCACAGGAAUCACUUGCCCUUGAACAGUUCAUUACAUUUUUAAAUGAAAAAAAAUGAAUAAAAUGAAAUUUUAUAAUCAGAUUUGCCACCUAUUAAAAUUUUGCUAAAAUUGAAACUGUGAAGUGAUGAAUGUGUUAAUGAGCUUGAUUGUGAUUACUUCAGAAUAUAUGCAUACAUCAAAACAUUACAUUGUAUAUCUUAAAUAUGUACUAUUUUAUUGGUUCUUUUUAGUUAUUCAUGACAGUAGAAUUCAUUUGAAUAUAAUUAUGCAAGCAUGGAAUAUAUCUUUAUUCUAAUUAACAGCCCAUAGUUAUGGAUAUACACAAUGGUGGGAUUCACUAUGGUUUAUUCAUAUGUGUACAUAGAAAAGUUAUGUCAGAUUCACUUCACUGUCUUUCUUAUUCCUAUCCCCCCUCCCUUCCCUUCAUUCCCCUUUGACUAAUCUACUGAAAUUCUGUUCUUCCCCUCGCCCCCAUUAUCGGAGGUUAGCUUUCACAUGUCAACAAAAAUAUUUGACCUUUGGCUUUUGGGGUCUGGCUUAUAUCCCUUAGUAUGAUAGUCUCCAAAUCCAUCCAUUUACUGGCAAAUGUCUUGAAGUCCUUCUUUAUGGCUGAGUAAAAUACAUACUAUUUUUAUAUGUCAGUUGUACCUCAA